UGCAUGUGACCUCGCAACGACAACCUGGUUUCGAUACUCGGCUGUCACAAUAUUCAGGUGUAUCGACCGAGCAAGUUCAUAACUGUUACACGUGUACUUUGUUGUUAAUUGUCUGAAGACAUCGAUAUAAACUUAACAGCAUGUGAUGGUGUCAGUGAAUGCACUCGUAUUUUUUUUCACUCAUGAAAGGUGUAAUUUCCCCAUUGUAUUUUUGGAUAGUGAUGCAAUUCACAUUUUUCCCAGCGCUAAGUCAACACUUUCAGAUCUAUUCCAGGGCACACGACUCUUCAUGCUCCAUUGAGACAAUCCACAGGUGCAUUCAUCUAUACUAUUUAUAUUUUUCACCAUAUGACAUGCACCAUCAAAAAGUGUAGGUAGAGACGUAGAGUAUCUCUGUCUGGCUAAGCCUAUACAUUCUCCCCUCUAGAUGGACGAUUUAGGUAAAUGCACUUCCUCCUUUAACCGAGAGAAAGUAUAUUCUUCAAUAACAGAAUUUUUAUGGUUGAGUGAUUGUCCGACGAGAUGACUGACAAUUGGAUGGAUAUUUCAGUGGAGAAUGGGUUGAAAGAUAAACAUGAAAAUCUAGGAUUUUUACUCUGAAACCUCUUAUCCUGGAUGUUAUUUCGCAAUUAACAAAUCAUAAAAGGUCAACUUAUCACGUUUUACCACUUGAAAACUGGAAUUAUCUCGAUGUGGACUAUGCAAACUUGAUGAAAAAAAAUAACUAAAAAUAGAGUUGUUUGAAUAUCAAAAGGUGGAAUCAAUCAAAUCAUCAAACGUCUGGGAACGCUUCCAAUUAGUCUCAGUAUUCUACUCCACCUGCCUGUAACAAUAUUGGAGAUCUCAACGGAAGAUGGAUUGCCCCGAUGGAAAAAAGAAAAGCCAACGAGAAUGAGAGUUUAUUGGGGGUGGGCACCUCUGCCAAGUAAAAACAAUAGCGAAACUUAUUUAGUAUGCAAAGGGAUUGGCUCGACCUAUCGUUCCAGCCGCGCCCAAUGCAUUCAAUCAAAAGCCAAAAGGGAAAAAAAAAAUCUUAAAUAUGAGAGAUCGAUCGGGACGAGAAAUCGAACAAUAAAUAGAAGUUAUAGAGGCAGAUAAUUACAUAAUAAAUUGUGUGAAGGAGAUAAUGAUCCUGAUACAUAUAUAUUCAUUGUAAACGAUGUGGAGACGAGAGUGGUCGUUACGCAUUCGUCUUGAACGGUCUGAAGAGGAUUAUGAUAUUUAUGAAUUCGUAAUUCACGGACCAUAGACUUCCUGAGGAUGAUGAUGUUUGCACUGGGUAUCUGAUGUACGUGGAGAGAAUUAAAUAAGAGAGAAACUGUCUAUGAAAAUUGCUGAGGACAUCUGGAAACUUCUUCACAAAUUACGGAAAAUAAUUGACUCUUUGCAUAGCAAUGUUUGUCCCAUGGGCCCAUAUGGUUGUAUGCAUCCAUGUGGUUGUUUAGUGGUGAUACCUGGGACAGAAUUCACUAAAUUUGAAAUAUGAUUUUUCUGUCUGUUCUGAGACUCUCCUGAAGGGUUUUUUCAAUAAGAGACAUAAAAGUGAUUUUAAAAAAUCUCGAAGAACAAACAGUUGUAUUUGUUACUAUUCAGCAACUAUAUGUUCAGCUGUAUUUCUAUAUUUUAUAGUUAAUCAGUAAUUGGAAAAAUCGGAUGAAAUUGUUUAAUCAGAGAAUUUUUAAUUUUCAUGAGUUAUACCUAAUUAUUGUGUAAUUGAAUUAAUUUUUUUUGGCUUUAGACUCCUGUUUGUAUUCCUGACAAGGUAUGCCAAGUGUGAAACUGUCAAGGAAUUUAUUUAUAGACUUAGCCACUCAACUCGUUCGUCAAAAACAGCAAUUUGGGUUAACGCAUUCCUCCCCAUGGCAAAGGAUAUGGGAGAAUGAAUUCUCAGUUAGCAUUCGUAUUCAGUAUGUUAUGUAUAGUAGUACGCGAAAUGAGAUGUAAUUUUAACGACGGUGGAUGGAGAAGGCUAAUGCACAUCAUUAAAAUGAAUUGUACGCAAUUAUUUUAAGACAUUAAUCAUGCAAUUUUAUCCAUAGAACCUGUUUCCUAAUAUUUCGUAUUAUUAUCCAGAGCGAGAGAAUUAUUACAUUAAAUUCCCAGCGUUUUUUUUUCGCAAAAUUCCUCAUCUCAAUAAAAAUACAAAUAGAAGUUUGUUUUCAAUGAUAAGUUACACAAGGAGACAACGAUAAUCGUUGUUUAUCGUGUACACAUGCACAUACAAAAAUAAAUAGGAUAAAAUGACUGAAAACAGCAAAGAAUAGAGUGUAAGGGAAAGGAGUCCUGCUAAUUUCCAUAUCCUGUCGCACCCACCAGAAGAAAAAAAAAAUUUGAAAAAAGCGUAACGGAUGUUGAGGAAACUCCUCAAUUUGUUAAUUUUUUAAAGCCCCUUUCUUGCUCUAGUUUUUUUUUUAAUCAAACGAUUGAUCGCCGGCACACGGAUAUCAGUGGAAAGUCCCAGGAGUGAACAGACCCGAUCCCAUACGAUUUAUCGUUCACUUGAAUCUCCGGGGGGGGCAGGCUCAAGCCAACGGUUAGGCUUCAGCUACCUGUACCUGUAUUACUGGCUUUUAAUUACAUACAUUUCAGUCAUCCAGCAAAGUGUUACGCUCUGCUGAUUCUCUGUGAUAUACCCAUCGAUUAAUGGGGCUAAAAUUUUUGUUCAAUUCCUCCUAGACAUGUUUGUUACGUUCGUUCCAAAUUCGACUCAUCACUGAUGCAAACUUUAUCGUGAAGAUUAACUGUUAGGGAGCGGUUUGGGACGAUGAGGCAUUCAUUCAAUUAAUCAGCAUUUAGAAAGUGAAUCGUGAACUGAAAAUUCUCAAGGAGAGAGGAAAAUUGAUUCGUUGCAAGUGAAUAAUAAUAAUAACAGUAUACACUUUUUGUAAACAUUUAAAGUAAAAAAUUUGUGUUAAUUCAUGUGUAGAAUUCUGCUAAAUUUGUAUUUAAAAUUUUUUUUUUUUUUGAUGAGUAAAAUAUCUACGAGACAUUUAUAUAAAAUUGAAGGGGUAAAACAGGUGAAAAUUUAUAGGGAGAAUUCAUGAUUCCACAUCAACAACAGAAUCUGCACUAUUGAAUUAACAUUCACGAAUUUUUCCUCAAUUUUGAAUGGCGCCCAGAUGAUCACGAGCUUGACGUUUAUUUGACGCUCUGUUAAACAGUCUGUUUGCUGGAAGAUCGAUAAUGGGAAACUAAUGGGUGUAUUCAUGAAUUCAGGAUUGUGGAAGGAGAAAUGACAAAACAGCAAUCGAAAUUACGAGUCUGAAUUCUAAUGGAAGAAUAGAGGACUCUACAAUUCAGACGGUUAUGUAGCUCAUGACGACGAUAAAAGUCAUUACGGAAGUUUGAAAUCAGGAAAAUAUAAAAUAUUCUAAUUUCAUAGAGCUGAUUACUCAAAAAAUUAAGGUGAGCGAUAAUGCUGAACCUGCUUGGACUGUCGAUAGUCUCAAGAAAGUUGCAUUGAUACGAAAUGGAAAAAAAUGAUGCGACCGGUUUUGACUCUGAGGAAAGGAUUACCGACCACUGUCUACAAAAUAAAAGGCCCAAGGGAGCUGAUGAUGCAUCUGAAGAUAUAAAAGCCACGAUAAUUGGAAAAUGGAGCAGAACUGAUGCUAACUGGCAUGACGAAAUGAAGAGACAAGGAAGUUAUUCAACUCUGGUGGCAAGCAUGCACAGUGUCCAAGUUCAUUGCACCCUGUCGAUUGCUGUAACGUCAGCAAUUAGUGUAAUUACCUGCUGUCCAGACUCCACUGUUAUCUCUUUGGUACUGGACACUUUUGCCGGAAGCAUUCAGCACUUGAGGAGAUAUUAUAGAUCAGAUGAUGCUUAAUAGACAUGUGUCAGCAAAUCAAUCUUUUUAUUAUUUCGUCUAUUAUUUUGUUGAGAUGUCCUAGUAUUUUACGAAGACAAUUAAGCUCAAAACUUUAUCAAGCGUUGACUUUUGCGAGAUCAAAUUAACUAAUUUGUUCAAAUAUUUUUCUACUAAUUUCUCCUCUGAUUAAUUUGUCAAUUUAAUGAUCACUCGAUCGAUUGGUAGAUAAAUAAUUAAGAAGAAGUAUCAUCUGAAAAUAAUGCUGUUGCUCCAAACCUAAUCUUUUAUACUACUCUGAGCUGAUAUCGAUAAAUAAAAUAAUAAAAAUUAAAAAUAAA
Diachasmimorpha longicaudata is the source of this 4149-nucleotide long non-coding RNA. RefSeq lists it as uncharacterized. The record is from RefSeq and is a predicted model, not a curated record. The transcript has 9 exons. NCBI's taxonomy places the organism in Eukaryota, Metazoa, Arthropoda, Insecta, Hymenoptera, Braconidae.